Molecule: ribosomal RNA, 435 nt
Filed under: uncultured bacterium
Lineage: Bacteria
Description: partial 16S ribosomal RNA
Rfam family: Bacterial small subunit ribosomal RNA
Source: RNAcentral
GAUGAACGCUGGCGGUAUGCUUAACACAUGCAAGUCGAACGGACUCUUCGGAGUUAGUGGCGGACGGGUGAGUAGCGCGUGAGAAUCUGGCUUUGGGUUCGGGACAACCACUGGAAACGGUGGCUAAUACCGGAUGUGCCGAGAGGUAAAAGAGAAAUUGCCUGAAGAUGAGCUCGCGUCUGAUUAGCUAGUUGGUGAGGUAAAGGCUCACCAAGGCAGCGAUCAGUAGCUGGUCUGAGAGGAUGACCAGCCACACUGGGACUGAGACACGGCCCAGACUCCUACGGGAGGCGGCAGUGGGGAAUUUUCCGCAAUGGGCGAAAGCCUGACGGAGCAAUACCGCGUGAGGGAAGAAGGCUCUUGGGUUGUAAACCUCUCUUCUUAGGGAAGAACAAAAUGACGGUACCUAAGGAAUCAGCAUCGGCUAACUCCGUG